This 911-nucleotide ribosomal RNA is filed under the name uncultured bacterium. Its description in RNAcentral is "bacterial SSU rRNA". It matches the Rfam family "Bacterial small subunit ribosomal RNA", at positions 97 to 1047 of the family's 1533-position model. The record is from RNAcentral.
GGCGGACGGGUGAGUAACACGUGGGAACGUGCCUUUUGGUUCGGAAUAGCUCCUGGAAACGGGUGGUAAUGCCGAAUGUGCCCUUCGGGGGAAAGAUUUAUCGCCAUUAGAGCGGCCCGCGUCUGAUUAGCUAGUUGGUGAGGUAAAGGCUCACCAAGGCUACGAUCAGUAGCUGGUCUGAGAGGAUGACCAGCCACAUUGGGACUGAGACACGGCCCAAACUCCUACGGGAGGCAGCAGUGGGGAAUCUUGCGCAAUGGGCGAAAGCCUGACGCAGCCAUGCCGCGUGUAUGAUGAAGGUCUUAGGAUUGUAAAAUACUUUCACCGGUGAAGAUAAUGACUGUAGCCGGAGAAGAAGCCCCGGCUAACUUCGUGCCAGCAGCCGCGGUAAUACGAAGGGGGCUAGCGUUGCUCGGAAUUACUGGGCGUAAAGGGAGCGUAGGCGGACAUUUAAGUCAGGGGUGAAAUCCCAGAGCUCAACUCUGGAACUGCCUUUGAUACUGGAUGUCUUGAGUGUGAGAGAGGUAUGUGGAACUCCGAGUGUAGAGGUGAAAUUCGUAGAUAUUCGGAAGAACACCAGUGGCGAAGGCGACAUACUGGCUCAUUACUGACGCUGAGGCUCGAAAGCGUGGGGAGCAAAACAGGAUUAGAUACCCUGGUAGUCCACGCCGUAAACGAUGAUUGCUAUUUGUCGGGAUGCAUGCAUUUCGGUGACGCAGCUAACGCAUUAACAACCCGCCUGGGGAGUACGGUCGCAGAUUAAACUCAUAGGAUUGACGGGGGGCCCGCACAGCGGUGGAACAUGUGGUUAAUUCGAAGCACGCGCAGAACCUUACCACCUUUUUGACAUGCCUGGACGCCAGAGAGAUCCGGCUUUCCCUUUCGGGGACAAGGACACAGGUGGCUGCAUG